RNAcentral lists this transfer RNA (70 nucleotides) under Candidatus Woesearchaeota archaeon CG1_02_47_18. RNAcentral describes it as "tRNA-Gly". It matches the Rfam family "tRNA". Rfam says of the family: Transfer RNA (tRNA) molecules are approximately 80 nucleotides in length. Lineage: Archaea; Nanobdellati; Candidatus Woesearchaeota. The record is from RNAcentral.
GCGACGGUAGUCUAGCGGUAGGACAUAACCCUGCCACGGUUGUAACCCGGGUUCGAAUCCCGGCCGUCGC